Molecule: long non-coding RNA, 287 nt
Organism: Oreochromis aureus
Lineage: Eukaryota; Metazoa; Chordata; Actinopteri; Cichliformes; Cichlidae
Exons: 3
Source: RefSeq, a predicted model, not a curated record
GUGUGGUUUCCUGGAGAGUCCAGGAUGUGGACUUGAAGCUCUGAGAUUGUGGAGCUGUGGUUUGUCAGAGAUCAGCUGUGAUUAUCUGGCAGCAGCGCUGAAGUCCAACCCCUCCCAUCUGAGAGAGCUGGAGCUGAGAGGAAACUACCUGAAGUAUCCAGAUGUGAAGCAGCUGUCUGAUCUUCAGCAGAGUCCAGACUACAGACUGGAGACUCUGCUGUGGUGAUGAUGGUAAACAGGACGGUGUGUGUGCUGAGAGAGGAGCAGCUGUGUCCUGAUGAUCCAGA